UACGGAGGGGGCUAGCGUUGUUCGGAAUUACUGGGCGUAAAGCGCGCGUAGGCGGCGAUCCAAGUUAGGGGUGAAAGCCCGGGGCUUAACCUCGGAAUUGCCUUUAAGACUGGAUUGCUUGAGUACGGGAGAGGUAAGUGGAAUUCCGAGUGUAGAGGUGAAAUUCGUAGAUAUUCGGAAGAACACCAGUGGCGAAGGCGGCUCACUGGACCGUUGCUGACGCUGAGGCGCGAAAGCGUGGGGAGCAAACAGG
Molecule: ribosomal RNA, 253 nt
Filed under: uncultured bacterium
Lineage: Bacteria
Description: partial 16S ribosomal RNA
Rfam family: Bacterial small subunit ribosomal RNA
Source: RNAcentral